RNAcentral lists this ribosomal RNA (253 nucleotides) under uncultured bacterium. Its description in RNAcentral is "partial 16S ribosomal RNA". It matches the Rfam family "Bacterial small subunit ribosomal RNA", at positions 524 to 776 of the family's 1533-position model. The record is from RNAcentral.
UACAGAGGGUGCGAGCGUUGUUCGGAAUCACUGGGCGUAAAGCGCGUGUAGGCGGCCCAUUAAGUCUGAUGUGAAAGCCCGGGGCUCACCCCCGGAAGUGCAUUGGAAACUGAUGGACUCGAGUCCCGGAGAGGAGAGUGGAAUUCCUGGUGUAGCGGUGAAAUGCGUAGAUAUCAGGAGGAACACCAAUAGCGAAGGCAGCUCGCUGGGACAUUACUGACACUGAGGCGCGAAAGCGUGGGGAGCGAACAGG